This 253-nucleotide ribosomal RNA is filed under the name uncultured bacterium. Its description in RNAcentral is "partial 16S ribosomal RNA". It matches the Rfam family "Bacterial small subunit ribosomal RNA", at positions 524 to 776 of the family's 1533-position model. The record is from RNAcentral.
UACGGGGGGGGCAAGCGUUGUUCGGAAUUACUGGGCGUAAAGGGCUCGUAGGCGGCCAACUAAGUCAGACGUGAAAUCCCCAGGCUCAACCUGGGAACUGCGUCUGAUACUGGAUGGCUUGAAUUCGGGAGAGGGAUGCAGAAUUCCAGGUGUAGCGGUGAAAUGCGUAGAUAUCUGGAGGAACACCGGUGGCGAAGGCGGCAUCCUGGACCAACACUGACGCUGAGGAGCGAAAGCCAGGGGAGCAAACGGG